Molecule: ribosomal RNA, 254 nt
Filed under: uncultured bacterium
Lineage: Bacteria
Description: partial 16S ribosomal RNA
Rfam family: Bacterial small subunit ribosomal RNA
Source: RNAcentral
UACGUAGGGUGCAAGCGUUGUCCGGAAUUAUUGGGCGUAAAGAGCUCGUAGGCGGUUCGUCGCGUCGGCUGUGAAAUCCCGAGGCUCAACCUCGGGUCUGCAGUCGAUACGGGCGGACUGGAGUUCGGCAGGGGAGACUGGAAUUCCUGGUGUAGCGGUGAAAUGCGCAGAUAUCAGGAGGAACACCCGUGGCGAAGGCGGCUCUCUGGAACGCAACUGACGCUGAGACGCGAAAGCGUGGGGAGCGAAUCCGG